UCCCUGGUGGUCCAGUGGUUAAGACUUUGUCUUUCAGUGUAGGGGACUCAGGUUUGAUCCCUGACCAGGGAG
Molecule: transfer RNA, 72 nt
Filed under: Ovis aries (sheep)
Lineage: Eukaryota; Metazoa; Chordata; Mammalia; Artiodactyla; Bovidae
Rfam family: tRNA
About the family: Transfer RNA (tRNA) molecules are approximately 80 nucleotides in length. Their secondary structure includes four short double-helical elements and three loops (D, anti-codon, and T loops). Further hydrogen bonds mediate the characteristic L-shaped molecular structure. tRNAs have two regions of fundamental functional importance: the anti-codon, which is responsible for specific mRNA codon recognition, and the 3' end, to which the tRNAs corresponding amino acid is attached (by aminoacyl-tRNA synthetases). tRNAs cope with the degeneracy of the genetic code in two manners: having more than one tRNA (with a specific anti-codon) for a particular amino acid; and 'wobble' base-pairing, i.e. permitting non-standard base-pairing at the 3rd anti-codon position.
Source: Rfam by way of RNAcentral